UACGGAGGGUGCGAACGUUGCUCGGAAUCAUUGGGCGUAAAGCGCACGUAGGCGGCGAAAAAAGUUGGGUGUGAAAGCCCUGGGCUCAACCCAGGAAGUGCAUUCAAAACUGCUUCGCUUGAAUCUCGGAGGGGGUCAGAGAAUUCCCGGUGUAGAGGUGAAAUUCGUAGAUAUCGGGAGGAAUACCAGUGGCGAAGGCGCUGACCUGGACGAAGAUUGACGCUGAGGUGCGAAAGCGUGGGGAGCAAACAGG
Molecule: ribosomal RNA, 253 nt
Filed under: uncultured bacterium
Lineage: Bacteria
Description: partial 16S ribosomal RNA
Rfam family: Bacterial small subunit ribosomal RNA
Source: RNAcentral